GACGAACGCUGGCGGCGUGGAUUAGGCAUGCAAGUCGGACGGUAGGGCUUUAUCGUAAGAUAGAGUUUGAGAGUGGCGAACGGGUGAGUAACACGUAGGAAUCUACCCUUAAGACGGGGACAACCCAGGGAAACUUGGGCUAAUACCGGAUGAGAGUGCGAGAGAUUGCAUUUAAAAGGAUGGCGAAAGUUAUCGCUUAGGGAUGAGCCUGCGGUCUAUUAGUUAGUUGGUGGGGUAAGAGCUCACCAAGGCGAUGAUAGAUAGGCGGCCUUAACGGGUGGUCGCCCACACUGGGAUUGAGAUACGGCCCAGACUCCUACGGGAGGCAGCAGUCGAGAAUAGUCUACAAUGGCCGGAAGGCUGAUAGUGCGACGCCGCGUGAACGAGGGAGCCCUUCGGGGUGUAAAGUUCUUUUCUAUACGAGCAGUGCUAUAUAUAUAGGAUAGUAUAUAUAGAGGGAUAGUAGUAUAGGAAUAAGAACGGCUAACUCCGUGCCAGCAGCCGCGGUAAA
This 511-nucleotide ribosomal RNA is filed under the name uncultured bacterium. Its description in RNAcentral is "bacterial SSU rRNA". It matches the Rfam family "Bacterial small subunit ribosomal RNA", at positions 28 to 524 of the family's 1533-position model. The record is from RNAcentral.